This 31-nucleotide ribosomal RNA is filed under the name Meloidogyne hapla. RNAcentral describes it as "partial 28S ribosomal RNA". Lineage: Eukaryota; Metazoa; Nematoda; Chromadorea; Rhabditida; Meloidogynidae. The record is from RNAcentral.
GACCUGAGCUCAGUCGAGAUCACCCGCUGAA